RNAcentral lists this long non-coding RNA (955 nucleotides) under Zea mays. RNAcentral describes it as "long non-coding RNA (ZMAY_LNC000063)". Lineage: Eukaryota; Viridiplantae; Streptophyta; Magnoliopsida; Poales; Poaceae. The record is from RNAcentral.
GGCAUUUAUCGAAUGUAUUCGUGAUGAUGAUGUAUUAUACAAUCCAGAUACCACAAUCAACACUCUAAUACUAAGGGCCCGUUUGGCACAGCUCCAGCUCCUGGUUCUAAGCGAGGAUCUGGAGGAGCUAUGCCAAACGAGUAUUUUUUUAAAUUGAUUCUCGUAUGGAGCCGAAAGAUUGGGAGUCGUUUUUGUGAAGAAAGGUGGGAUCUAAAAAAACCUGCUCCACCCUCCCUUAAAACAGCUCCUCAACCAACCAAAUAUGGACCUCCCCUUAAAAUUUGAUCGAAAUUACCCGCAAUUGCCAUUAGACAAAAACAUAAUGAGCCCUCCCGCAACCCUCCACGGCGCGCGCGUCCUCUGUCUCGUGAUCCCUUCCUAUCGCUGAAGGGAGCGGCGGCUAGGGUUUCGACCAUCUUCGCCGUCCUCUAGCGAGAGCUGUUCUGCUCGUCUGCGGUUCCCAGGUACGUGCUCUGCGGAUCCCGGCGUUCUGCUCCACUUUGCUUUCCGUUCUGUGGGAUUCUUGCUUGCGGAUCGCCACCGUGAUGGCAGCAGGGGCCGUGAAGUGGACAACUAGUACAUCCGCCACCGCUCGCCGUAUGCGCCACUGAUGAGCCGACCUUCAAAAAGGAAGGACGAUAAGGAGCCUAGCGAGGUCUCAAGCGAUAGCGGCUCGGAGUCUGGUGGGCGCCCACGAGUGCUGAGGGAGGAUGGGGGUCUUGGGGUCUGCAGGGAUGGAGGUGCGUUGCCAGCAAGCAAGAAGAGGAAGCACUCACCUGGAUUCCACGAUACGAAUGUUUCAAAGCUGCGGGCAAGAGAUGAGGUGUGGAGGAGAGGACCUGAUGCCAUAGCUACGGAGCUCCCUCUUCCUUCGCCGCCCCCUAUGUCUGCGGUUGGUGGGUGCUCACCAAUGGAUCCAGAAGUUUUGGUAGUUCCAAAUGAUGCUGAAAGGAUG